CGGAGCAGGCGCGAAUUCUCUCCAAUGUCCCAUUUGGUGACAGGGGAACUCGGAGUGCUUACGGUUUAGCCGUCGGCUUUUGCCAUGUGUAAAUAGCAUGGCGAAUAACUGGUGGGUAAUACUGGUGCCAUCCGCCGCGGUAACACCAUCGCCACGAGUGGCUAUCGCGAUUAUUGGGCCUAAAGCGUCCGUAGUCGGUUCUGUGCAUCUUCUGUGAAAUCGCAACGCUCAACGUUGCGGCAUGCGGGAGACACGGCAGAACUUGAGACCGGGAGGCGUGUAGGGUAUUCCACGGGGACCGGUAAAAUGGUAUAAUCCGUGGAGGACCACCUGUGGCGAAGGCGCUACACGAGAACGGAUCUGACGAUGAGGGACGAAAGCCAGGGGAGCAAACCGGAUUAGAUACCCGAGUAGUCCUGGCCGUAAACGCUGUCUGCUAGGUGUUGCACCGACUUGAGUCGUUGCAGUAUCGGAGCGAAGGUAUUAAGCAGACCGCCUGGGAAGUACGGUCGCAAGACUGAAACUUUAAGGAAUUGGCGGGGGAGCAC
This 548-nucleotide ribosomal RNA is filed under the name uncultured archaeon. RNAcentral's name for it is "bacterial SSU rRNA". It matches the Rfam family "Archaeal small subunit ribosomal RNA", at positions 331 to 879 of the family's 1478-position model. The record is from RNAcentral.